CCGGUAGCUCAGCUGGUAGAGCAACUGACUUUUAAUCAGUAGGUCUCGGGUUCGAACCCCG
This 61-nucleotide transfer RNA is filed under the name zebrafish metagenome. It matches the Rfam family "tRNA", at positions 7 to 62 of the family's 71-position model. From Rfam's summary of the family: Transfer RNA (tRNA) molecules are approximately 80 nucleotides in length. The record is from RNAcentral.